Molecule: ribosomal RNA, 301 nt
Filed under: uncultured bacterium
Lineage: Bacteria
Description: partial 16S ribosomal RNA
Rfam family: Bacterial small subunit ribosomal RNA
Source: RNAcentral
CAGUAGCCGCGGUAAUACGGAGGGUGCAAGCGUUAAUCGGAAUUACUGGGCGUAAAGCGCACGCAGGCGGUUUGUUAAGUCAGAUGUGAAAUCCCCGAGCUUAACUUGGGAACUGCAUUUGAAACUGGCAAGCUAGAGUCUUGUAGAGGGGGGUAGAAUUCCAGGUGUAGCGGUGAAAUGCGUAGAGAUCUGGAGGAAUACCGGUGGCGAAGGCGGCCCCCUGGACAAAGACUGACGCUCAGGUGCGAAAGCGUGGGGAGCAAACAGGAUUAGAGACCCGCGUAGUCCCUGUCUCUUAUAA